GCGCCCGUAGCUCAGAUGGACAGAGCAGGAGCCUUCUAAGCUCUUGGCCAGGGGUUCGAAUCCCUUCGGGCGCGCCA
RNAcentral lists this transfer RNA (77 nucleotides) under Desulfovibrio sp. Its description in RNAcentral is "tRNA-Arg". It matches the Rfam family "tRNA". Rfam says of the family: Transfer RNA (tRNA) molecules are approximately 80 nucleotides in length. The record is from RNAcentral. Lineage: Bacteria; Pseudomonadati; Thermodesulfobacteriota; Desulfovibrionia; Desulfovibrionales; Desulfovibrionaceae.